GACGAACGCUGGCGGCGUGCUUAACACAUGCAAGUCGAGCGGUAAGGCCCCUUCGGGGGUACACGAGCGGCGAACGGGUGAGUAACACGUGAGCAAUCUGCCCUUCACACGGGGAUAACCCUCGGAAACGAGAGCUAAUACCCGAUACGACCACUUCAGGCAUCUGAUGGUGGUGGAAAGUUCCGGCGGUGAAGGAUGAGCUCGCGGCCUAUCAGCUUGUUGGUGGGGUAAUGGCCCACCAAGGCAACGACGGGUAGCCGGCCUGAGAGGGUGACCGGCCACACUGGGACUGAGACACGGCCCAGACUCCUACGGGAGGCAGCAGUGGGGAAUAUUGGACAAUGGGCGAAAGCCUGAUCCAGCAACGCCGCGUGAGGGAUGACGGCCUUCGGGUUGUAAACCUCUUUCAGCUACGACGAAGUUGUGUCCUUCUGGACACAGUGACGGUAGUAGCAGAAGAAGCACCGGCCAACUACGUGCCAGCAGCCGCCGUAAUAC
RNAcentral lists this ribosomal RNA (498 nucleotides) under uncultured bacterium. Its description in RNAcentral is "bacterial SSU rRNA". It matches the Rfam family "Bacterial small subunit ribosomal RNA", at positions 28 to 526 of the family's 1533-position model. The record is from RNAcentral.